RNAcentral lists this long non-coding RNA (935 nucleotides) under Musa acuminata (dwarf banana). RNAcentral describes it as "long non-coding RNA (MACU_LNC008734)". The record is from RNAcentral. Lineage: Eukaryota; Viridiplantae; Streptophyta; Magnoliopsida; Zingiberales; Musaceae.
CAAGUGUUCAUCAAUUGUAGCAUUUCAUCAUAUGGUAAGAUAUCAAUGCGUAAAACUGUGAAGCAAGAUUUUGUUUGAUAUCUUGAUACAGGGCAUGAUGUACACAUUUCGAAUAUUUUAGCAAGUGUAGCAUUGCAUCACAUGGUAAGAUAUCAGCUCGUAUGAUGCAAAUUUUUGUUUGAUAUCUUGAUACAGGGCAUAUAGCAAUGAUAGCAAUCAUAUAUUUCUUGGUGAUGCAAGCAUGGGAUAAUCAUAGCAUAGUGUUUAUAGCAUCAAUUCAUAUAUUUCUCCCCCUUUUUUUUUAAGUAUUUCAUCUUAAGUGAUCGAUUUCAUGUUAGCAUGCCUUUUCAUUUAUGUCAAAUGAAAACAUGCAUCAACGUUUAGGAUCGUGAAAUGAAUUUCAUCAUAAAACCAUCAAUCACAAAAAUCAUCAUGUAUAACUUUAAAAUCUCAAAUCUUUAUUCUUAUGUCAAAAUCAUACAUUAUAUUUAACAAACAAAGACAAUGAAAAAUAUCAAGCCUUCCAGACAAAAGCCAUGUAUCGUCAUUGAAAAGCAAUAUGAAAAUCAUCAAAAUAUACAUUCUUGCUUUUCAAGCACAUAAAUAAGAUUUAAUCUCACUAGGUGUACAAUCAUUAGAUUUCUAUCUUGCAUUAACAUAAGACAUGUAAUUUUCAUUAUCAUUUUCAAAAUUACAAGCAUGAUCAUAUUUUUGCAUUUUCAUUAUUAAAUUAUUAAAAAUGUAAUUUUCAAGAAAAUUUAAAGAAAAAGAAAAAUGCAUCAUGAAAAACAUCAUGUAAUUUCGAAGUAAAUUAAAGGCAUUUUGAUUACCUCAGCGUCGAAAGGCGUAAAGGCGUAGUUUGCCACCUCGCCUUUGUUGAUUUUCUCCUCGUCUUCAGAGGAGCUCGAUUCAUCCCAAUUUUUGUUCUUCUUCUU